AGGCCUCAAAACCUAAGGUUCUUUCCUUACAUAUUCACAUGAAUGCUAUAGCAUCUCCCUGUUCCUUAAAUAUAAGGCACAAAAUUAUCUACCAUGAAUCUCCCAUGUAUUUCCCUCCCACUCACCUCCCAACUUGCUCUCAUAUCUGAGAUUUUCUUGUCGGGUCUGGGGUGUCCAAGCAUUGCCUUUGCCCUGGCUGGCCUUAUGACAUCAACAGCCCAGUGACACCAACAUCAACUAGGGUGUGUUACAAAAGCAGCAUCUCAAGUCCUUGUGCAUCUAUUGAUCUGGAGCCUGCAUUUAACCGGGGUCUACAGACACACCUGAAACUUGGGAAGUGGUGCCUUGGAGGGCAGGCUGCCCACUCUAGGUCGUGACGAUCCUGUAUCUUAGAGCCAAAGAAUAACUCAAGAAGGUGGAAAUCACAAAAGAAGGAGGUUAAGGAGGGGGAGCAAUGGUGGCUGUGCCAGAAGGCAACGUUGAGGGAGCAGAGGCAUCCAAGACCCACUAUCUGGGCUACUACAGAACUUGGGUGCUCACGAGAGAGAAGAAAUACCAUGUGAAAACAACAGUGGGCACGGCACAGCCAGACUAGCUGUGAAGCUGUCACCAACUUCGGAGGAGAAAGUUCUUUAGAACUGCAGGAAGAUUUUAUUAACCAAUUCACCUAAUGAC
Molecule: non-coding RNA, 675 nt
Organism: Microcebus murinus (gray mouse lemur)
Lineage: Eukaryota; Metazoa; Chordata; Mammalia; Primates; Cheirogaleidae
Source: RefSeq, a predicted model, not a curated record